RNAcentral lists this ribosomal RNA (508 nucleotides) under uncultured bacterium. Its description in RNAcentral is "partial 16S ribosomal RNA". It matches the Rfam family "Bacterial small subunit ribosomal RNA", at positions 30 to 523 of the family's 1533-position model. The record is from RNAcentral.
AUUGAACGCUGGCGGCAUGCCUUACACAUGCAAGUCGAACGGCAGCGGGGGAGAAGCUUGCUUUUCCUGCCGGCGAGUGGCGAACGGGUGAGUAAUACAUCGGAACGUGCCCUGUAGUGGGGGAUAACUAGUCGAAAGAUUAGCUAAUACCGCAUACGACCUGAGGGUGAAAGUGGGGGACCGCAAGGCCUCAUGCUAUAGGAGCGGCCGAUGCCUGAUUAGCUAGUUGGUGGGGUAAAGGCCUACCAAGGCGACGAUCAGUAGCUGGUCUGAGAGGACGAUCAGCCACACUGGGACUGAGACACGGGCCAGACUCCUACGGGAGGCAGCAGUGGGGAAUUUUGGACAAUGGGCGAAAGCCUGAUCCAGCAAUGCCGCGUGUGUGAAGAAGGCCUUCGGGUUGUAAAGCACUUUUGUCCGGAAAGAAAUGGCUCUGGUUAAUACCUGGGGUCGAUGACGGUACCGGAAGAAUAAGGACCGGCUAACUACGUGCCAGCCGCCGCCGUAA